CAACCCAGUGCUAGUCCGCCCUCGCAGGGACCUGUCCUCUCGCCUGACCUAUGAAGUCCGUCCCUGCCUCCAAGGCUCCAACAAAGUCCUUCUUUCCCCCAGAGUAGCAGUUCUCAAACUUGAGUGCAUCAGCAUCACCCAGAGGCUGUAUUCAAACACGUUGCUGGCUCCCUCCAUGGUUUCUGAUUCUGUGGGUUUAGGGUGGUGAUGCUGAUUCCUCUGGUCAAAGGACCAUCCCUGGAGAGCCACUGCCCUUUAGGUAACGAUUUUCCCCUCAUUUUUCUUCUGAACUCGGUCAGCACCUUGUUCAGCCUCCCACUGAGCCUGGAACCCUUGACAGCUGGGGAAACAGCAUGUGAUCUUUCUUUUUUUCACUCCACCUUUCCCCCAUCAAAUGAGGAAGGAAAGCUCAAGCAGUUUACUAUUUUGGGGAAAUUGUGCCAUCGUGCCUAGUACAUAGUGUGUAUCAGACUUAAGAAAAGGACAAGAAUGAAACUAUUAAAAAAAUUUCUCCAACUGGCAAUUAAAAGACAAUGGGAAAACUGCUUCUAUGUUUAAGAAAAAAUAAUUUAACUCUUAAUUUUAUUGCCACUUAUCUACUUUUGACCAUAUAUUGAGGACUCCCCCCACCUUCCACCACCAGUGGAACUGGGGAAUAAAACAACAAAGAUUGAAGAUGUGAUGGAGAAAAGAGUGGAAACAACUCAAGACAGUGAUGAAGGGGAAUCUCAUGAAAUCAUCUGUGUUGCAAAUCUAGAGAGGUAUGAUGUACCGCAGUGGAGUAACUGGAUGGAUGGAAUUCACCUAAAAGGAGAUAUUCAGGGAAAAACAAAACAAACAAAAAACAAAAAUAAAAACAAAAAAUGCUCAAACUAUUACACUAGGUU
Molecule: long non-coding RNA, 887 nt
Filed under: Pan troglodytes (chimpanzee)
Lineage: Eukaryota; Metazoa; Chordata; Mammalia; Primates; Hominidae
Description: long non-coding RNA NONPTRT000279
Source: RNAcentral